GUCUCUGUGGCCCAAAUCGCUUAGCGCUUUUGGCUGUUAACUGAAAGGUUGGUGGUUUGAGCCCACCCAGGGAUC
RNAcentral lists this transfer RNA (75 nucleotides) under Lepisosteus oculatus (spotted gar). It matches the Rfam family "tRNA". Rfam says of the family: Transfer RNA (tRNA) molecules are approximately 80 nucleotides in length. Their secondary structure includes four short double-helical elements and three loops (D, anti-codon, and T loops). Lineage: Eukaryota; Metazoa; Chordata; Actinopteri; Semionotiformes; Lepisosteidae. The record is from Rfam by way of RNAcentral.